CCUACGGGAGGCAGCAGUGGGGGAUAUUGCACAAUGGGGGGAACCCUGAUGCAGCGACGCCGCGUGGGUGAAGGAGCGUUUCGGCGCGUAAAGCCCUAUCGGCAGGGAAUAAGGAGGAGGGAACCUGACUAAGAAGCCCCGGCUAACGACGGGCCAGCAGCCGCGGUAAUACGUAGGGGGCAAGCGUUACCCGGAUUUACUGGGUGUAAAGGGGGCGCAGACGGCACCGCAAGCCAGGAGUGAAAGCCCGGGGCCAAACCCCGGGAGUGCUCUGGGGACGGGGCGGCUGGAGUGCAGGAGGGGCAGGCGGAAGUCCUGGUGUAGCGGGGAAAUGCGUAGAUAUCAGGAGGAACACCGGUGGCGAAGGCGGCCUGCUGGACUGCGACUGACGUUGAGGCCCGAAAGCGUGGGGAGCAAACAGGAUUAGAUACCCUGGUAGUC
This 441-nucleotide ribosomal RNA is filed under the name uncultured bacterium. RNAcentral's name for it is "partial 16S ribosomal RNA". It matches the Rfam family "Bacterial small subunit ribosomal RNA", at positions 338 to 795 of the family's 1533-position model. The record is from RNAcentral.